GGAUUUGCUUGUGGAGAAUGGUGUCUACAAAGCAAAGCAAGUGCCAUCCAUAGUCAGGUGCAUCCACCAGUGGCUCACGUCCAAUGUGUCUGCUGAGCACAGGCUGGACAAGACUCUUGUCCUGCUGACCGAGGCACACCCUAUGGAUGUUGCAGUGACCCUGCUGCGCUCUGCCCCAGCCUGUGACAGAGCUGCUCACACC
Long non-coding RNA from Chiroxiphia lanceolata (lance-tailed manakin), 202 nucleotides. RefSeq lists it as uncharacterized. Lineage: Eukaryota; Metazoa; Chordata; Aves; Passeriformes; Pipridae. The transcript is spliced from 3 exons. The record is from RefSeq and is a predicted model, not a curated record.